This 318-nucleotide ribosomal RNA is filed under the name Triticum aestivum (bread wheat). Its description in RNAcentral is "partial small subunit ribosomal RNA". Lineage: Eukaryota; Viridiplantae; Streptophyta; Magnoliopsida; Poales; Poaceae. The record is from RNAcentral.
AUGGCAGACACGGGCUCGCAAUCGUCAGCAGGAAGUGCGACCUCGGGAGGCAAGCCAAUCGGGGUUGAGGAGAUGAUCGGAAAACUCAGGUUACAAGAACGGGAGGAGGAUGAUCUGAUUUUUGAAGAGGAGUUUCCAAAUGAGAUCGAGGAAGCAAAGUUCAUGGCGCUGGCGACGGUGCACACCAACAAGCCCUUCAGUCGAGGAUCGUUCUACGAUAUGAUGCGACUCGCUUGGAGUCUAGCACAAGGAGUAGCCUUCAAACCCCUCGGCGAAAAUCAGUUCUCCUUGACGGUGAAUUGUUUAGGGGAUUGGAAG